RNAcentral lists this ribosomal RNA (449 nucleotides) under uncultured bacterium. Its description in RNAcentral is "bacterial SSU rRNA". It matches the Rfam family "Bacterial small subunit ribosomal RNA", at positions 331 to 794 of the family's 1533-position model. The record is from RNAcentral.
CCAGACUCCUACGGGAGGCAGCAGUGGGGAAUAUUGCACAAUGGGGGAAACCCUGAUGCAGCGACGCCGCGUGAGUGAAGAAGUAUUUCGGUGUGUAAAGCUCUAUCAGCAGGGAAGAAAGAAAUGACGGUACCUGACUAAGAAGCCCCGGCUAACUACGUGCCAGCAGCCGCGGUAAUACGUAGGGGGCAAGCGUUAUCCGGAUUUACUGGGUGUAAAGGGAGCGUAGACGGCGAUGCAAGUCUGAAGUGAAAGGCGGGGGCCCAACCCCCGGACUGCUUUGGAAACUGUGUAACUGGAGUACAGGAGGGGCAGGCGGAAUUCCUGGUGUAGCGGUGAAAUGCGUAGAUAUCAGGAGGAACACCGGCGGCGAAGGCGGCCUGCUGGACUGAAACUGACGUUGAGGCUCGAAAGCGUGGGGAGCAAACAGGAUUAGAUACCCCGGUACC